CCUUCUGCCAAAAGCAGUUUUUAAAUCUAAUUUCUUUAACCUUCAUUCCAGCUUUUACUUUGUGUUCUUCAGCCGUGAGAAUUGUUCUAAUAUCAUGGAGCUAUGGCAGAGACUCCAUCGUUUCAGCUUUGGAAGUCAUUUCCUGGAGUAAGAGGGCAGUGCUGCAUCAGUUUAGCAAAUGGAGUCAGAACUUAAGUGGAAGGAAAAGAAAAAAACCAAACCGAAACAAGUUCAGCAAUGAACGUGGGUUUUGCGGUCCUGAUCAUGACAAUAUACACAAGUCUGACCAGGAUGUCGUGUGUAAAAUGAAGACUAAAGGAAAGGAACAAAAAAUGUCAAAAGAAGGACACAGAGGAAGAGUGAGGACUACACACUACUCUUCUAAUUUGUAAAUGUAAUUAAAACUGAUUGACCAGUUAACAUGUUUCUGACUUUCUAAUGUCAUUCUGAUGACUGAUUAAUUAAUAAAGGAGCAAUACUGCUGCCCUUUUUCA
RNAcentral lists this long non-coding RNA (494 nucleotides) under Chrysemys picta bellii (western painted turtle). Its description in RNAcentral is "lncRNA (ENSCPBG00000003384.1)". The record is from RNAcentral. Lineage: Eukaryota; Metazoa; Chordata; Testudines; Emydidae.